GUUGGCCUCGGAUCAGGUGGGGAUA
This 25-nucleotide ribosomal RNA is filed under the name Venturia inaequalis. RNAcentral's name for it is "partial 28S ribosomal RNA". The record is from RNAcentral. Lineage: Eukaryota; Fungi; Ascomycota; Dothideomycetes; Venturiales; Venturiaceae. RNAcentral also lists the same sequence under 1 other name.